RNAcentral lists this ribosomal RNA (330 nucleotides) under uncultured bacterium. RNAcentral's name for it is "bacterial SSU rRNA". It matches the Rfam family "Bacterial small subunit ribosomal RNA", at positions 568 to 898 of the family's 1533-position model. The record is from RNAcentral.
CGCGUAGGCGGACAGUUAAGUCAGAGGUAAAAGCCCAGGGCUCAACCUUGGAACCGCCUUUGAUACUGGCUGUCUUGAGUACGGGAGAGGUGUGUGGAACUCCGAGUGUAGAGGUGAAAUUCGUAGAUAUUCGGAAGAACACCAGUGGCGAAGGCGACACACUGGCCCGUUACUGACGCUGAGGCGCGAAAGCGUGGGGAGCAAACAGGAUUAGAUACCCUGGUAGUCCACGCUGUAAACGAUGAGUGCUAGUUGUCGGCAGGCAUGCCUGUCGGUGACGCAGCUAACGCAUUAAGCACUCCGCCUGGGGAGUACGGUCGCAAGAUUAAA